CCAGGAAGGAAGGGAGCAUUUAUUUCAUCCUAUUCCUUUACGUAAUCCAAACAUAUAAAUAGAUGGAGAGAGAAGCCUCUUCCUCUCUUCUCUUCUGGCGAGUUUUGGGAACAGUAAGUCCCUGUCUCGGCCUUACUUAUCUGGAGCUGAGGCCUACAGUGACUGCUGUUGUCUACCACGCACAAGGGAAGAGUGCUGGGCCGCGUCCAGCCAUCCUGCUUUUCUGAAGGGAAGUGGAGCUGGGCAACGACAUGACUUGGAAGACACCGGUCUGUCAGCAUUUAGGGAAGGAAAAAGAAGCACUGUUGGUAGCUCAUGUGCACAAGAAAAGCUUCACAUUUACGUAACACUCUGUGACAGCUUCUUCAGAAGUCCUUCAGAAGUGACAUAUAUUUUCGUGAUGUGGCUGAUGCAAGAAGGAAGUAAUCAUGGGUGUUCAGAAAGCACAGUAAGCUGCAGCAGUGACUCUGCACAACAAACCUGAGGAUUCCCACUUCCAGAUGAAGUGGGUUGGAGGCUGGGAGGAGGAGCAGGCUGCCCUUCCCUGCCCAUGAUUCCAGAAGCAAAGACUGUCUGGGGAUUGUUACUCUGCUGCUUUGCCUUUCACUGAGUGAUAGGCACUGUCUCCUGCUUGUACAGUGCCAGGUUUGCCCUCUGAAGGGGAUGGAUCACAUCUCAUUUUAACAUCUCAUUUUUUUUGACUACUUAUACGAAUCUGCACAAUGAAUACUUCAGAGGAAAACCCACUACAGGUAAACAAAGAGCAGAAAAAAACUAAAAAUGCCUAAAACCAGGAAAAGAAUCCCUUUGAAAACCAGCACUUUUUUUGUUGUUAUUUUUGUAAAUCCCUUCAAUACACUUAUCAUCCAAAUAAAGUAGUAGAAGGCCUUUGAUUCCAAUUUCUUUGUCUGGUACUUGUAUUUAAUUUCAAAUCUAUUUCCUGCUCAGGGAGCUCACAUGAACUCUGUUUAAAUUGGGAAUUUCUUAGAAGGUGUGUGGGGGGGAAAAGUUUUCCCACUAGAGUUAAAAUAAUGGUAACCCCCAGGGGUGGUGACCCUUGGGAUUGAGCCAAUGAGCGCUCCUGCAAAAUAUAAAAAUAUCAACAAUCAGACUGGAAAAGAAGGGUAGUUGUUGUAGUUGUUGGAGGAGAGUGGCCAUGUUCUAAACCAUGAGGAAGGGGCCCGGAGCCCCGUUGGGGGCUAGGCUCCCCCCCCCCAGCCCCCAGCUGGGGGGCUGCAGGA
Long non-coding RNA from Lepidothrix coronata (blue-crowned manakin), 1241 nucleotides. RefSeq lists it as uncharacterized. The record is from RefSeq and is a predicted model, not a curated record. Lineage: Eukaryota; Metazoa; Chordata; Aves; Passeriformes; Pipridae. The transcript is spliced from 3 exons.